UCCGGAGGUUGCAAGCGUUAUCCGGAUUCACUGGGUUUAAAGGGUGCGUAGGUGGGCAGGUAAGUCCGUGGUGAAAUCCUAUAGCUUAACUAUAGAACUGCCAUGGAUACUAUUUGUCUUGAAUGUCGUAGAGGUAAGCGGAAUAUGUCAUGUAGCGGUGGAAUGCUUAGAUAUGACAUAGAGCACCAAUUGCGAAGGCAGCUUACUAUGCGAUGAUUGACACUGAGGCACGAAAGCGUGGGUAGAAAACAGG
This 253-nucleotide ribosomal RNA is filed under the name uncultured bacterium. RNAcentral's name for it is "partial 16S ribosomal RNA". It matches the Rfam family "Bacterial small subunit ribosomal RNA", at positions 524 to 776 of the family's 1533-position model. The record is from RNAcentral.